Molecule: ribosomal RNA, 967 nt
Filed under: Bacillus subtilis subsp. subtilis
Lineage: Bacteria; Bacillati; Bacillota; Bacilli; Caryophanales; Bacillaceae
Description: bacterial SSU rRNA
Rfam family: Bacterial small subunit ribosomal RNA
Source: RNAcentral
AUCGGAGAGUUUGAUCCUGGCUCAGGACGAACGCUGGCGGCGUGCCUAAUACAUGCAAGUCGAGCGGACAGAUGGGAGCUUGCUCCCUGAUGUUAGCGGCGGACGGGUGAGUAACACGUGGGUAACCUGCCUGUAAGACUGGGAUAACUCCGGGAAACCGGGGCUAAUACCGGAUGGUUGUUUGAACCGCAUGCUUCAAACAUAAAAGGUGGCUUCGGCUACCACUUACAGAUGGACCCGCGGCGCAUUAGCUAGUUGGUGAGGUAACGGCUCACCAAGGCAACGAUGCGUAGCCGACCUGAGAGGGUGAUCGGCCACACUGGGACUGAGACACGGCCCAGACUCCUACGGGAGGCAGCAGUAGGGAAUCUUCCGCAAUGGACGAAAGUCUGACGGAGCAACGCCGCGUGAGUGAUGAAGGUUUUCGGAUCGUAAAGCUCUGUUGUUAGGGAAGAACAAGUACCGUUCGAAUAGGGCGGUACCUUGACGGUACCUAGCCAGAAAGCCACGGCUAACUACGUGCCAGCAGCCGCGGUAAUACGUAGGUGGCAAGCGUUGUCCGGAAUUAUUGGGCGUAAAGGGCUCGCAGGCGGUUUCUUAAGUCUGAUGUGAAAGCCCCCGGCUCAACCGGGGAGGGUCAUUGGAAACUGGGGAACUUGAGUGCAGAAGAGGAGAGUGGAAUUCCACGUGUAGCGGUGAAAUGCGUAGAGAUGUGGAGGAACACCAGUGGCGAAGGCGACUCUCUGGUCUGUAACUGACGCUGAGGAGCGAAAGCGUGGGGAGCGAACAGGAUUAGAUACCCUGGUAGUCCACGCCGUAAACGAUGAGUGCUAAGUGUUAGGGGGUUUCCGCCCCUUAGUGCUGCAGCUAACGCAUUAAGCACUCCGCCUGGGGAGUACGGUCGCAAGACUGAAACUCAAAGGAAUUGACGGGGGCCCGCACAAGCGGUGGAGCAUGUGGUUUAAUU